GACGAACGCUGGCGGCGUGCUUAACACAUGCAAGUCGAACGGAAAGGCCCCUUUGGGGGUACUCGAGUGGCGAACGGGUGAGUAACACGUGAGUAACCUGCCCUUGACUUCGGGAUAACUUCAGGAAACUGGGGCUAAUACCGGAUAGGAAUCCUUGCUGCAUGGUGGGGGUUGGAAAGCUUCGGCGGUUUUGGAUGGACUCGCGGCUUAUCAGCUUGUUGGUGGGGUAGUGGCUUACCAAGGCUUUGACGGGUAGCCGGCCUGAGAGGGCGACCGGCCACAUUGGGACUGAGAUACGGCCCAGACUCCUACGGGGGGCAGGAGUGGGGAAUAUUGCACAAUGGGCGGAAGCCUGAUGCAGCAACGCCGCGGGCGGGAUGACGGCCUUCGGGUUGUAAACCGCUUUCAGCAGGGGCGAAGCUUGUGGUGACGGUACCUGCAGAAGAAGCACCGGCUAACUACGUG
RNAcentral lists this ribosomal RNA (465 nucleotides) under uncultured bacterium. RNAcentral's name for it is "partial 16S ribosomal RNA". It matches the Rfam family "Bacterial small subunit ribosomal RNA", at positions 28 to 507 of the family's 1533-position model. The record is from RNAcentral.